AACAUCUAAGUACCCCGAGGAAAAGAAAUCAACCGAGAUUCCCCCAGUAGCGGCGAGCGAACGGGGAGCAGCCCAGAGCCUGAAUCAGUGUGUGUGUUAGUGGAAGCGUCUGGAAAGGCGCGCGAUACAGGGUGACAGCCCCGUACACAAAAAUGCACAUGCUGUGAGCUCGAUGAGUAGGGCGGGACACGUGGUAUCCUGUCUGAAUAUGGGGGGACCAUCCUCCAAGGCUAAAUACUCCUGACUGACCGAUAGUGAACCAGUACCGUGAGGGAAAGGCGAAAAGAACCCCGGCGAGGGGAGUGAAAAAGAACCUGAAACCGUGUACGUACAAGCAGUGGGAGCACAGAGCAAUCUGUGUGACUGCGUACCUUUUGUAUAAUGGGUCAGCGACUUAUAUUCUGUAGCAAGGUUAACCGAAUAGGGGAGCCGAAGGGAAACCGAGUCUUAACUGGGCGUUAAGUUGCAGGGUAUAGACCCGAAACCCGGUGAUCUAGCCAUGGGCAGGUUGAAGGUUGGGUAACACUAACUGGAGGACCGAACCGACUAAUGUUGAAAAAUUAGCGGAUGACUUGUGGCUGGGGGUGAAAGGCCAAUCAAACCGGGAGAUAGCUGGUUCUCCCCGAAAGCUAUUUAGGUAGCGCCUCGUGAAUUCAUCUCCGGGGGUAGAGCACUGUUUCGGCAAGGGGGUCAUCCCGACUUACCAACCCGAUGCAAACUGCGAAUACCGGAGAAUGUUAUCACGGGAGACACACGGCGGGUGCUAACGUCCGUCGUGAAGAGGGAAACAACCCAGACCGCCAGCUAAGGUCCCAAAGUCAUGGUUAAGUGGGAAACGAUGUGGGAAGGCCCAGACAGCCAGGAUGUUGGCUUAGAAGCAGCCAUCAUUUAAAGAAAGCGUAAUAGCUCACUGGUCGAGUCGGCCUGCGCGGAAGAUGUAACGGGGCUAAACCAUGCACCGAAGCUGCGGCAGCGACACUAUGUGUUGUUGGGUAGGGGAGCGUUCUGUAAGCCUGUGAAGGUGUACUGUGAGGUAUGCUGGAGGUAUCAGAAGUGCGAAUGCUGACAUAAGUAACGAUAAAGCGGGUGAAAAGCCCGCUCGCCGGAAGACCAAGGGUUCCUGUCCAACGUUAAUCGGGGCAGGGUGAGUCGACCCCUAAGGCGAGGCCGAAAGGCGUAGUCGAUGGGAAACAGGUUAAUAUUCCUGUACUUGGUGUUACUGCGAAGGGGGGACGGAGAAGGCUAUGUUGGCCGGGCGACGGUUGUCCCGGUUUAAGCGUGUAGGCUGGUUUUCCAGGCAAAUCCGGAAAAUCAAGGCUGAGGCGUGAUGACGAGGCACUACGGUGCUGAAGCAACAAAUGCCCUGCUUCCAGGAAAAGCCUCUAAGCAUCAGGUAACAUCAAAUCGUACCCCAAACCGACACAGGUGGUCAGGUAGAGAAUACCAAGGCGCUUGAGAGAACUCGGGUGAAGGAACUAGGCAAAAUGGUGCCGUAACUUCGGGAGAAGGCACGCUGAUAUGUAGGUGAAGUCCCUCGCGGAUGGAGCUGAAAUCAGUCGAAGAUACCAGCUGGCUGCAACUGUUUAUUAAAAACACAGCACUGUGCAAACACGAAAGUGGACGUAUACGGUGUGACGCCUGCCCGGUGCCGGAAGGUUAAUUGAUGGGGUCAGCGCAAGCGAAGCUCUUGAUCGAAGCCCCGGUAAACGGCGGCCGUAACUAUAACGGUCCUAAGGUAGCGAAAUUCCUUGUCGGGUAAGUUCCGACCUGCACGAAUGGCGUAAUGAUGGCCAGGCUGUCUCCACCCGAGACUCAGUGAAAUUGAACUCGCUGUGAAGAUGCAGUGUACCCGCGGCAAGACGGAAAGACCCCGUGAACCUUUACUAUAGCUUGACACUGAACAUUGAGCCUUGAUGUGUAGGAUAGGUGGGAGGCUUUGAAGUGUGGACGCCAGUCUGCAUGGAGCCGACCUUGAAAUACCACCCUUUAAUGUUUGAUGUUCUAACGUUGACCCGUGAUCCGGGUUGCGGACAGUGUCUGGUGGGUAGUUUGACUGGGGCGGUCUCCUCCUAAAGAGUAACGGAGGAGCACGAAGGUUGGCUAAUCCUGGUCGGACAUCAGGAGGUUAGUGCAAUGGCAUAAGCCAGCUUGACUGCGAGCGUGACGGCGCGAGCAGGUGCGAAAGCAGGUCAUAGUGAUCCGGUGGUUCUGAAUGGAAGGGCCAUCGCUCAACGGAUAAAAGGUACUCCGGGGAUAACAGGCUGAUACCGCCCAAGAGUUCAUAUCGACGGCGGUGUUUGGCACCUCGAUGUCGGCUCAUCACAUCCUGGGGCUGAAGUAGGUCCCAAGGGUAUGGCUGUUCGCCAUUUAAAGUGGUACGCGAGCUGGGUUUAGAACGUCGUGAGACAGUUCGGUCCCUAUCUGCCGUGGGCGCUGGAGAACUGAGGGGGGCUGCUCCUAGUACGAGAGGACCGGAGUGGACGCAUCACUGGUGUUCGGGUUGUCAUGCCAAUGGCACUGCCCGGUAGCUAAAUGCGGAAGAGAUAAGUGCUGAAAGCAUCUAAGCACGAAACUUGCCCCGAGAUGAGUUCUCCCUGACCCUUUAAGGGUCCUGAAGGAACGUUGAAGACGACGACGUUGAUAGGCCGGGUGUGUAAGCGCAGCGAUGCGUUGAGCUAACCGGUACUAAUGAACCGUGAGGCUUAACCUUACAACGCCGAAGGUGUUU
RNAcentral lists this ribosomal RNA (2728 nucleotides) under Escherichia coli. RNAcentral describes it as "partial 23S ribosomal RNA". It matches the Rfam family "Bacterial large subunit ribosomal RNA". The record is from RNAcentral. Lineage: Bacteria; Pseudomonadati; Pseudomonadota; Gammaproteobacteria; Enterobacterales; Enterobacteriaceae.